AGCAGUCGCCGCGGGAAUACGAAGGGGGCUAGCGUUGUUCGGAAUUACUGGGCGUAAAGCGCACGUAGGCGGAUAUUUAAGUCAGGGGUGAAAUCCCGCAGCUCAACUGCGGAACUGCCUUUGAUACUGGGUAUCUUGAGUAUGGAAGAGGUUAGUGGAAUUGCGAGUGUAGAGGUGAAAUUCGUAGAUAUUCGCAGGAACACCAGUGGCGAAGGCGGCUAACUGGUCCAUAACUGACGCUGAGGUGCGAAAGCGUGGGGAGCAAACAGGAUUAGAUACCCGGGUAGUCCCUGUCUCUUAUAC
Molecule: ribosomal RNA, 303 nt
Filed under: uncultured bacterium
Lineage: Bacteria
Description: partial 16S ribosomal RNA
Rfam family: Bacterial small subunit ribosomal RNA
Source: RNAcentral